CGCGGGGUCGCGGUGCUGCUCGCAAACCCGAGGCGUUUUCUCUCCUGASGCCGCUGAAAGAGUUUCUGUCUGCAUAAUUAGCUUUGUUUUUAAACCACUAUUCAGGAAGCUCAGAGACAAUGUCAUUAACUUUUGGAAACAAAACGAUGCUCACUUAGGUUCAUUUAUCGCAGCAGUUCCAUGGCAUAAUUUAGCGAUCCCGUGGCAAUGGGAGCCUCGUAACGGGGAAGGGAAGGAAACACGCGUGGUGACAGGGACUGCGACUCGUGUAAGGGCUUGGGAACAGGCUUAGCCCUUCGCCGGCUGGUGUGAAUUUAGUGCAGAGUUUCAUCGUGAAUCUUUACAGCUUGCUGUCCACAGGCAGUAUUUCAAAUAUAGCCCCGAUAUUUUUUGGAUCCAUCCCGACCGCCUGUUUGCAGUCACGUGCCCUCCCUUUAACCUGUAUUAGGAACCAUAGCUGUCGUCAGAAUGCAUUCCYGCGGCUUCCUUUUGGACAGACUGCAGACUAUGCUGACUGAUCAGAGCACGUCCUCCUCACUAAUCAGAAUCUACGUUAGAAAAGUCUCAGUGUAGGUAACCACUGAGGUAUUUCUGUAAAAUUUUCUUGAAACACUUGGUCAAGACUUCUGCUGAAGACAGACCUAACAGGACAGAAAUUUUUCUCUUAUCCUAUGGUACACCUAUGAAGACAGGUUGGUUGUGUAAGUGCCACUGUCAGCAGAGCAAAUCUGAUGAGUCACUUAGAGAAGAGAGUAACUUAAGAGGUAAGUUGAAAGUCACUUUUUUCUUUUAUAAAAUCAAGACUCCCUUCUUGCAAAAUUGCAAAAAAAAAAAAAAAAAAGAGAAGCAACCUCAAAUUUAACUUUGCUUUUAGUUGCUAAUAUCAGAGCAAAUUAAAAAACUUUAUUAAAAAUAAGGUGGGUUAAAAGUAACAUUACAUCAUAAUUUUUAAUAGUUUAUGAAUAAUGUCAUGUACUCUCCAUUUCUUAUUCAGUGAUUUCUAUAAGGCAAUAGCAAAUUCAUGAGAAGAAACAAGCUAUAUCAAAUGUAACUUUAGAUGUCACCUUUGAUUUUUUAUAGAGUUUACAUUAAAACUGAAAAAUCCAGAUCCAUAUGUGAAUUCUUAUUUUAGUACUAUUUAUGGGGUACUGAAGUAGAAGAUGCUUGUUUAGACUCUUAGGCUUCAAUUGCACAACAAAACAAUUUUAUACAAAUACAGUAAUUGCAACAUUGGUAAUUCCAAGCUGCACGGUUACGUCAAUGGCAGUAAGUGUCAUUUGGGACACUACACACAGAGAAACAGCCAGCAUUUGCCAUGAUGUCAACUAACUAUGGAAGCUCAUUUUCUUUUUUCAAGAUGUUGAAGAAAUAGGUAAAAAUGUUCGGAUUCACUGGGCAACGGGGAGAUGAAUUAUGAAGAUCUAGGACUUAACUCUAAAAUCCUUCCUGUUUGCUGCUGWGAGUUCUGGACUAUGGCUAUACCAAGAAGAGAUUGGUACGGAGUAAAGAGAAAACACUGGCCAGCCUAUGUAUAGGCUGUUCUUGUAUUUCACUUAAAAAUAUAAGCCAAUUACAUGGAAAAACAAAUCAGAAGUGUAAAGUAGUAACAGUUGAUCACAUUUAACUACCAUGUAAGUGAAGAGAAAAAACAACAGAUAACAAACACAUUUAAUCAUCCCUCUUCACCAAAACUAUCAAAGAUUUAACUCACAUAUGAUUCUUCUUCCCCAUUUAUUUUAGGUAACAGCAAAACAUCAAGGGACCUGCAGUGUGAGUAAAGUUUCCCAAGAAAGCUCCACAACACAAUGAUCCCCCCCCAAAAAAAMCCCUCUUAAUUCCUCCCCAAAAUAACAAAUAAGUAGCAAGCCGUAUCUUCUCAGAGAGCAUUCAAAUGCAGUAGGCAGUGGCCAAACCUUCACUAAUGCAAAGUCAGCUCAAUCAAACUGCACAGCUUCUUACAUACAGAACUUAAUUUAUCCAAAAAACACCCUUCUAUUGCACAUCCUGUAUAUUCCAUCAAAUGCUUUCUGCAUGCAUCAAAUCAGAGCUGUGGCAGAGAAGUCCCAACAGACUGGGUUAAGUGAAUCAUGUUUAGUCACCAGAUGUUCAAGAGAAACCUCUAAGAUUAUGAAAUCCCUGUUAUCACCAUGAAUUAAUGUAAUAAAGGUCUCAACAAUCUGCUUAUUAAAUAAUCG
This 2195-nucleotide long non-coding RNA is filed under the name Apteryx owenii (little spotted kiwi). RNAcentral's name for it is "lncRNA (ENSAOWG00000013760.1)". Lineage: Eukaryota; Metazoa; Chordata; Aves; Apterygiformes; Apterygidae. The record is from RNAcentral.